This is a non-coding RNA of Cinara cedri, 396 nucleotides long. The record is from the annotation of a GenBank genome assembly. Lineage: Eukaryota; Metazoa; Arthropoda; Insecta; Hemiptera; Aphididae.
GGAUUCUUCUACGGAAAUAAUAUUAUAUUGUACUAAUUUAAUUAUUCUACCUAGAUUCAUUUUUCUUGUUGUAGUCUUUCAGAAAUCUGAGUGCAUUACUUGACAUAUGCAUGUGUGUUGCAAGGCACACUCAUGUGUAGGGAUAAAAAUUGGCAAAAAUGAAAUACGGAAAAUUGUAUUAAUCCUUCGAAAUAGCUCUUACGGAAUUCCAUAGAUUUAACAAUAAAGAAUUAUUGUUUGUUAAACGGUAUAAUUAAUAAUGUCCUGGGAACAGAUUCGCCAAAUGAUCAUAAUAAUAUUUCGGGUCAGUGAGAAGAAUAUAGUUAUGUAUUAUGGAAAAUUUACUACAAUAAUAAUAUGUUGUACUUUUGCUAUUAUUAGGUGCGAGAGUAAAAG